AUUGAACGCUGGCGGCAUGCCUAACACAUGCAAGUCGAGCGGAGGAAGGGAGCUUGCUCCUGGAGUCAGCGGCGGACGGGUGAGUAAUGCCUAGGAAUCUGCCUGGUAGUGGGGGAUGACGUCCGGUAACGGGCGCUAAUACCGCAUACGUCCUGAGGGAGAAAGUGGGGGAUCUUCGGACCUCACGCUAUCCGAUGAUCCUAGGUCGGAUUGGCUAGUUGGUGGGGUAAAGGCCUACCAAGGCGACGAUCCGUAACUGGUCUGAGAGGAUGAUCAGGCACACUGGAACUGAGAAACGGUCCAGCCUCCUACGGGAGGCAGAAGUGGGGAAUAUUGGACAAUGGGCGAAAGCCUGAUCCAGCCAUGCCGCGUGUGUGAAGAAGGUCUUCGGAUUGUAAAGCCCUUUAAGUUGGGAGGACGGGCAGUAAGUUAAUACCUUGCUGUUUUGACGUUACCAAACGAAUAAGCACCGGCUAACUUCGUG
Molecule: ribosomal RNA, 484 nt
Filed under: uncultured bacterium
Lineage: Bacteria
Description: partial 16S ribosomal RNA
Rfam family: Bacterial small subunit ribosomal RNA
Source: RNAcentral